RNAcentral lists this transfer RNA (79 nucleotides) under Escherichia coli E22. RNAcentral describes it as "tRNA-Arg". It matches the Rfam family "tRNA". Rfam says of the family: Transfer RNA (tRNA) molecules are approximately 80 nucleotides in length. Their secondary structure includes four short double-helical elements and three loops (D, anti-codon, and T loops). Lineage: Bacteria; Pseudomonadati; Pseudomonadota; Gammaproteobacteria; Enterobacterales; Enterobacteriaceae. RNAcentral also lists the same sequence under 1 other name. The record is from RNAcentral.
ACCGCCAUUAGCUCAUCAGGAAAGAGCGCCAGCCUUCGAAGCUGGCUGCGCGGGGUUCAAGUCCCCGAUGGCGGUCCAU